RNAcentral lists this long non-coding RNA (1458 nucleotides) under Solanum tuberosum (potato). RNAcentral's name for it is "long non-coding RNA (STUB_LNC009949)". The record is from RNAcentral. Lineage: Eukaryota; Viridiplantae; Streptophyta; Magnoliopsida; Solanales; Solanaceae.
AUGGCUUUUGACUUUGGGUUAAGUUUGUUUUUUGGGGCAGGUAGUAGUGACAGCAAAGACAAACAGCUAUGAGCAAUUGUCUUAGGAUCUUUGAAAUGAUUCCUCUCUUAAAUUUUUUAGUCAGGUACUGUUUUUUUAAUCUAGCUCCUGCAUAAGUGAAGUUGUACUCUUAGUUUGUGUUUUCCGACAGUUUUCAUUGAUGAAAAUGCACUUUAUCCUUUUGAUGUCCUUGGGACCGACAAGUUAUCAUCAAUGUAACUCAUGAGUAUGAAACUUCACUUUAAUGUGCAGAAUAUAUGUCGAAAAACAAUGAGUGACUUCUUAUAACCGUAGAAAAUUAGUAAAAUGAAAAGACGCGUGAUUUGGGAACAAAGAGUAGUUUAGUCAUCUAAAUCUUUAAAGCUAUACUAUAUCAUAAAAGUGGAUCUUUAUAAACCUUGCAAUUCAUAUAUUUGUCUUCAUUACUUGGUAAUUUUUUUUUAUGUCUGGAGCUAUUUUAAGUUGUAAAAUUAAAUUCUAACAGGCAGACAGGCUACAUUGUCCUAACCUUCACACAAGGUAACCCCCUUUCCCCUGUUAAACUUCUCAUUUAUAUAUUGUUGUUUGUUUGAUUUCUGGUUAAUCAAACCAAGUGUGUAUCUAGAAGUUUUUAAAGAUAAAAUAUAUCUUAACGUUUCAAAAAAGACACCAAAAUGAGUGAUAAUAGAAAAGAACAAGCAUACAAAUAGAUGGAUGGCAAAAUUUGGAUUGGUUAAAGUUGUGAAGUGUGUUAAAGGUAGCGUUUUCAUAACAUUUUCGCAUUUUCAUGUUUAAGUUUGAACUUUAUUUUGAACAUACGCUUGCUAUACUUUCUCAUUAGUGAAUUUUAUAAAUCGAGUUUGUGUUAGAGUGGAGUUGACUGCUUUAUCCUUAUACAACAUUUAUGAUAAUCAACCUAGUAGUAUUUUCCUUCUUGUGGUACAAAGAGGUAGGAUGCUAUUAGAUUAUCUACUUAUUUGUUUUUCAUUAAUAAUGAUGUGGCUUCUUAUGUCUAUGAAGAAUUAUAUGGUUUGUUGUACGUAGUAAUACUGUUUCAUGGUGAGUCUUUAUAGCUGUAUACGUUGAACAUCGAGUUGUUGGAAAGAAAUUUUUAUUUGCUUGAGGUUGAUAGAAAAUUAGGAACUCCUAUCAUCACUAUGCUUUCCAUUUUUGCUCCAUGUUUUGGCUGGUUUAGCGGGCUACUUCUUACAAAUGAAAUGAUACUUUUCAGGUUUUGGUACAUCAAUGGUAGUGCAAAGAUCACAUUUUCAAGAGUUUACGUCAAAGAUUUUUAUACCUAAACCAAAAAUUAUCAUAUACAUAUGCUGGUAGAUUGACCAUUGGAUGGUCCUUGCAUCUUUUAGCUUUAUUUAUUUACCGAUUAAAUUUGUCAUGCCAUUAUAAUACUAUAUUUUAUUUUUUAGAACAUGUGAAGAGAAC